UAUAAUGCCUCUUUUUUAGGUGCAUAUACUUUAAAGAGUAAUGUUAAACGGGAAACUUGGUGACCAACGCAAAGGUUUAUAAAACCGCUUUGCGUUUCCAUUCCAGUGCUGCCCCCGCAACGGUAAUAGAGAAAACCUGAUUCCAUGCCAUUGAGUUCCCAGAACUUGAGAAGGCGUCAGGAAAUUGCUCUUAAGCCCGGAUACCGGCCUAAACCUGACUUUACGU
This 226-nucleotide non-coding RNA is filed under the name Hydrogenovibrio crunogenus. The record is from RNAcentral. Lineage: Bacteria; Pseudomonadati; Pseudomonadota; Gammaproteobacteria; Thiotrichales; Piscirickettsiaceae.